UGCAGCAACGCCGCGUGAGGGACGACGGCCUCCGGGUUGUAAACCUCUUUUAGCAGGGAAGAAGCGAAAGUGACGGUACCUGCAGAAAAAGCACCGGCUAACUACGUGCCAGCAGCCGCGGUAAUACGUAGGGUGCAAGCGUUAUCCGGAAUUAUUGGGCGUAAAGAGCUCGUAGGCGGUUUGUCGCGUCUGCUGUGAAAACCCGAGGCUCAACCUCGGGCCUGCAGUGGGUACGGGCAGACUAGAGUGCGGUAGGGGAGAUUGGAAUUCCUGGUGUAGCGGUGGAAUGCGCAGAUAUCAGGAGGAACACCGAUGGCGAAGGCAGAUCUCUGGGCCGUAACUGACGCUGAGGAGCGAAAGGGUGGGGAGCAAACAGGCUUAGAUACCCUGGUAGUCCACCCCGUAAACGUUGGGAACUAGUUGUGGGGUCCAUUCCACGGAUUCCGUGACGCAGCUAACGCAUUAAGUUCCCCGCCUGGGGAGUACGGCCGCAAGGCUAAAACUCAAAGGAAUUGACGGGGACCCGCACAAGCGGCGGAGCAUGCGGAUUAAUUCGAUGCAACGCGAAGAACCUUACCAAGGCUUGACAUAUACGAGAACGGGCCAGAAAUGGUCAACUCUUUGGACA
This 628-nucleotide ribosomal RNA is filed under the name Microbacterium sp. So1Ps_698. RNAcentral's name for it is "bacterial SSU rRNA". It matches the Rfam family "Bacterial small subunit ribosomal RNA", at positions 387 to 1024 of the family's 1533-position model. The record is from RNAcentral. Lineage: Bacteria; Bacillati; Actinomycetota; Actinomycetes; Micrococcales; Microbacteriaceae.